GACAGCCUGCCAGAAACUGAGGCUACUUUCCUUCCACCCUCUAAUCUUCUGCUAUUCGCUCCACUUGCUGAACUCAGCUGGAAUCCAGUGGCCAAGGGAGCCUGCUGAUGCAAUCCCUACAAGGGCAGCUCUUGGGGCACAGAUCAGGGGUGAAAUGGAGACAAGAUCUGGAUGGGCAAAGGAAGGAGAUCCAGCUCACGUUUCAAGGGGUGAAGAAUGGAGAAAAAUCAAAGAACAGCACAUGCAACGAUGCAUUGGUGAUCUCCUUCCUGCUAACCCUGUGGCCAAGAACACAAAGCAAACACGACCCCCAACAGAGAAGGCAGGGGAGGAGCCCACCAGUCAAACCAGCAUUCCCUAGUCCCCGCCUGAUCAUUGAACAGACUUGAGGGGGCGCAGCAUCUUUUACCUGGUCUCAGAAUUUCUGCCAGUCUUGGCAUGUUGGGGGCUUGGGAGGUUGCAUUUUGGGUUUUGUUUUAUGGCUUAAUCUGGACCUCAAUUCAGUCAAGUCAAUGAGAGCAGGGACAGUCCCCAGUCACCAUCUCAGGACCAUGGCAAAAUGUAAUGAGCUUUUUCAGGAAUUUAAAGUACUCACAGAAGGGCCUUCUGCAAAAAUGAAGCAUGACCCAAUGAGUGUAGCCCAGCGCAGUGAGGGUGGACAACUUCAAGGCCAUUGUUUUUCAGGGGGCUGUGGCAGCCAAGAGUUGCUGGGCCCUGUACAACCGUCAAAGUACUCCCAGGAAUGCCACUGGUCUUUCCACAGUUGUCCAGGGGUGGAGAAUCCACUGAGGGUCAAUGACUCUGUUACAGUCAUGUCAGUACCUUAAAGGUUUGUGGUGGGGGGCUGUGGAGGAGUUGGGGAGGGAUUAUAUCUGUAGUGUGUGCGUGUAUGUGAUGUGCAUGUGCAUGUAUGUAAUGUGUGUGUAGAUGUGUGUGAUGUGCAAUGUUUGUGCAUAUGCGUGUGCUUGUACCUGUAUGUGAUGUGUAUGCAUGGCAUGUAUGCAUAUAUAUAAUGUGUGUGUGUACGUGUGUGCCUGUGUGUGUGUGUAUGACACACCAGCUGAUCAAUGCCAGAACAAGAAGACCAAGGAAGAUUCCAGAGAUAAGACUGUCCUACAUCUCUGAUUGAUGGGCAUCUUUGAAGACGUAGGCUAGCAUCUAGAGGCUUCGAGAGGAAGCUCUGCAAUUUCAAUUCCUGUCUCUGCUACUUCGGAGCUACGUUACCUUGGGCAAGAUGUUUAAUUUCAGCAAGACCCAGUUUUUCUCGUCUCUGUAGAGGGGCAAUAAAAGGACCUACCUGUGGGUUUCAGGAAUUAGUGAAUUCAUGGAAAGCACCUAGCACUGGGCACAGAGCAAGCACACAGAUGUUGCCUGUUCCAAUUAUCACUGCUUCAGGAGACAGUUCUUCCUGGAGUCUAACCUAAGGCUGCCUGCCUCCUUCCCUGCCUCCGAGGGACUCCAUUCCCCUGAUCACCAUCUCUGUGUGACACAGUCCUCUUGACUUUAGCUGCUUGUCUUUGGGAAUGUCAAAACUCAACACUCCAGCUGUCCCCGGUUCAUGUAGCCCAGCCAGGAAGGAACCGGGGGAGCUGAUCACCAACUCUCAGCCUCACACGUACCUCGGGGACCCCAAAACAUUUUCUGGUGGCCCAGCAGACUGAAAAAGUCUGGCUGGGGUUUUCCCCCUUUGUGCCU
Molecule: long non-coding RNA, 1695 nt
Filed under: Homo sapiens (human)
Lineage: Eukaryota; Metazoa; Chordata; Mammalia; Primates; Hominidae
Description: HSALNT0244913
Source: RNAcentral